Molecule: non-coding RNA, 225 nt
Organism: Pelobates cultripes (western spadefoot toad)
Lineage: Eukaryota; Metazoa; Chordata; Amphibia; Anura; Pelobatidae
Source: the annotation of a GenBank genome assembly
CCUCUUCCCCCCUUUUGCGAUUUCUGUCACCUUUUCCUCUUUUCCUUUUUCCCCUCUUUCACUCCUUUCAUUUUAUUCUUUCUCUCUUUUCUCCUUCUUCCCCACUCCCUCUUUUCUCCCUUAUCCCCCUUCUCCCUCUCUUUGUUUCCGUUUUCUCCUCCUUCCUCCCUCCAUCCUUUUCCUUUUUUCUCUCCCACUUUUCUUUCCCUGUUUCCUAUUCUCCCA